UACAGAGGUGGCAAGCGUUGUUCGGAAUUACUGGGCGUAAAGGGCGCGUAGGCGGCCAUCUAAGUCAGACGUGAAAUCCCCCGGCUUAACCUGGGAACUGCGUCUGAUACUGGAAGGCUUGAGUAUGGGAGAGGGAUGUAGAAUUCCAGGUGUAGCGGUGAAAUGCGUAGAUAUUGGGAGGAACACCGGUGGCGAAGGCGACCACCUGGACGAUGACUGACGCUGAGGCGCGAAAGCGUGGGGAGCAAACAGG
This 253-nucleotide ribosomal RNA is filed under the name uncultured bacterium. RNAcentral's name for it is "partial 16S ribosomal RNA". It matches the Rfam family "Bacterial small subunit ribosomal RNA", at positions 524 to 776 of the family's 1533-position model. The record is from RNAcentral.